This 493-nucleotide ribosomal RNA is filed under the name uncultured bacterium. RNAcentral's name for it is "partial 16S ribosomal RNA". It matches the Rfam family "Bacterial small subunit ribosomal RNA", at positions 28 to 507 of the family's 1533-position model. The record is from RNAcentral.
GACGAACGCUGGCGGCGUGCUUAACACAUGCAAGUCGAACGGUGAAGCGCCUUCCUUUUUGGUGGGUGUGGAUGAGUGGCGAACGGGUGAGUAACACGUGAGUAACCUGCCCCCUUCUUCUGGAUAACCGCAUGAAAGUGUGGCUAAUACGGGAUAUUCUGGGUCUGUCGCAUGAUGGGUCUGGGAAAGAUAUUGUUUCGGUGGGGGAUGGGCUCGCGGCCUAUCAGCUUGUUGGUGGGGUGAUGGCCUACCAAGGCGGUGACGGGUAGCCGGCCUGAGAGGGGGGAGGUCAAAAGGGGGAUGGGGAAAGGGCCAGGCUUCUAAGGGAGGCAGCAGGGGGGGAUAAUGGAAAAUGGGGGGAAGGCUGAUGCAGGGAAGGCGGGUGAGGGAUGGGGGCCUUCGGGUUGUGAACCUCUUUCGCCAGUGAAGCAGGCCUGCCUCGUUUGUGGGUGGGUUGACGGUAGCUGGAUAAGAAGCGCCGGCUAACUACGUG